CACACGCGUUGUGCCCAGUCUAGUGACCAUCUCCUUUAAGUUAAAAAUUGCAGCUUUAAGCACAAUAUGUGGGAGUAACUCUCGGCGCCGGUUGUUUCAGGAUCGCAGAGUGACGCGGAAACCCAGUGACAGUAAGCGGGUGCUAGUACCUCUGACGAGAUGAGUGACUGCCCGGGAGGGCUGGAGGAAGCUUGUAUGAGACAGCUCAGCAAAGUCUGCGGAUCUGGUUAUGCUUCCUGUACGAGACAGAUCACGAAGCGGUUGCUGACUGACCAGUUGGGGCGAAAAUUUUUGUGGGAAGGACGUAAGAGAAAGUUGACAUUCAGGAACCUUCACCUUGCUGAGUGCAUCAUAAAUGCAGUGCAGAGCUGCCAUAAAUGUGAAGACUUCAAGGUAGAAACCAUGGUCACGGAUUAACUUCGCCACGCACCUGCCUGACAUCAGUCAUCUCAAAUGGAACAUUCUGCACCACAGGAGAGAGAGAUGUGAACUGCCUUAA
This is a long non-coding RNA of Ixodes scapularis (black-legged tick), 499 nucleotides long. RefSeq lists it as uncharacterized. The record is from RefSeq and is a predicted model, not a curated record. The transcript has 4 exons. NCBI's taxonomy places the organism in Eukaryota, Metazoa, Arthropoda, Arachnida, Ixodida, Ixodidae.